This is a long non-coding RNA of Limulus polyphemus (Atlantic horseshoe crab), 3160 nucleotides long. RefSeq lists it as uncharacterized. NCBI's taxonomy places the organism in Eukaryota, Metazoa, Arthropoda, Merostomata, Xiphosura, Limulidae. The transcript has 4 exons. The record is from RefSeq and is a predicted model, not a curated record.
AGAGAGCGAGAGGUGAUGCUUUUGUGUCGUCACAUUCUAGAUAUAUUAAGAAGAAUAUUGUUUCGUUGAUAAUUCCAGUAAUUUUUUUCUAUGUACUUUGAAGUUAUUUUAACUGAAGACCUUUUUGUCGCUUCGUUACUGGUUUAGCGACAGGGGAUAUAUAAUUUUGCAUUUAAACACAACUUACGACACCAACGGUUAGUUUGUCAGCUCAGCCUAUCGUAGGUCUUUCCUUUGUCAGCUGACUCCGGAUUUUUCCUCCUCUUUAACCCACGCCAUGUUUGCAAAGCAACGAUUGGUCGAUAAAAAUAACGGCUGCACGGGCCUCUAAGCAGCGUCGUGGUGUGAAGAGUUUUUUACUAGAAAAGCCGUUGCACCAAAGUUUAGCAACAUACGUCACUUUCUGCUCCUUCAUAACAUAUUUUUAAGUAGGCAACAAAAUUUCAAAAUUGAAGGUAUCAUAAUAUUUUUUUAUAGAAAUGAGCAUGGGAGAUGUAGACCUGGUGAUACCAACAAUAAUGUUCGGCAAUAUUGAACGUUUGAUAGGCUACUGUAGUCCACACUCAACAACUCGACGGGCACUGUUUGGUCCCGUAGAUCACGAGGAGAACUUAAAAUUCGUACGCGAAGAGUUUAGCAAGUUACAGCAAAACGACGAAAAAAGGUGGAAUUUUGAUUUUAAAAACGAAACGCCAACGGACGGACGGUAUGAGUGGACACCAGUGAAAGACAAGGAAGUAAUUCAUCCAUCUUAUGAGCUGAAAGGGCUACAAUAUUGUAAGAGUUACGGAAAAUUAGCCAAUAGCCUUGUGAAAGUCCGAGAUACAAAGUUCAAACCACGUAGAACUACAGUUAGUUCGUCGUCGAAAACACUUACAGGUGAAAAAAGGAAUAUAAGAAUGCAACAAACGAAAAUGACAGAAUAUCUGAAGAAAAGAAAAUAUUCACCAGAAAGUUCCUCAAAUGUGGAUUCCAAGGUCACCGCACCCGCUACAAAGAUUCAACGAUCAUCUUCAACACCAGUAUAAUGCCAACUUUCCUGAUAGUCAUGGCAUUUGCUCCAUACCCCAACUGCCAAAGAAAAUCGUGUGAUAUGUCUUUUAGAACUGGGCUUUUGAUCUCACGUGCUACUGAUCCUUAUCCUCCAAGGGUUCUUUGUCAUUCACCAGUAGAACGCCAGAUGACAGAUAGUCGACGUUAUUUUUGUCACCUUGUGGAUAUUUGUAUUUCUUAAGCUGUAAACUGAGUUUUUUUCCUGUUAUAUAACCAAGUCUUGGUUUGGACCGUGUCGAAGUGUAGUGACAAAGAUACAUUGUUCUUACGUUUAACAUAUAUAUAUGUGUGUGUGUGUGAAGUGGACAAGAACGUGUUUUUGCUGAUGAGAGUAGUUUUUAACUGUACAUGUACACGUCACGGUUUCAUUUAUCUUUCAGUCGAUGUUAUUUAUUUCAUAUUCAUAUGGUUAGUUUUUGUUUCAGUCUAAUUCAUCAAGACGAGUCGUGACUAAAGUAUAAUGACGAUAAAAGAUUGAAUUAACAUUUGUACCUUUUGUAGAGUUAGAAGUAACCAUGGUUACUUUUCCUAUGGGCAAAAUUAUGUUCUGAUUAAUCAGAUGUAUAAAUGAUAACUUGUUGGAUAAAAAAAAAUAUGUUGUCAUGGUAACUAACUGAACUCCAUUAAUUAUUUACCAUGGUAACAAAUGUAAUGAACCAGCCAUCAAGGUAAGCUGGAUGGUAUAUCUAUUUGUCACGAUGAUCAGAAUAAUAAAUGUAACUGUAAUCAUAAGCGAUUACCUGUACAAAAAAAACAAAAAAAACGUGUGAGAAUAUUUACAAUUGCUGACUAAAUUAACGUGAAUAUUAGAAAAAUCUAUUAUGUAAUAUCAACGAGACAAUGUUUAAAUUAAAUCCUUGAAAAUAACCUGAAAAGACGAGUGUUAUUUUUCCUUGUUUUAAGUUAUCUAGAACUAAAACUAACUUCUGUCAAUUCAAAAAUAACUAUAUUUAUAUCGCGUUAAAUUUUCUUCAACAACAGCAUUCUUAGCUUUAAGUUUGAAGCGUUUUAUGUAUGAUUUGUUUAUAUAUUAGACUCGGUUAUUGAGAACUUUAAUUUAAUUUACCAGUAAUGUCAGCUGUCCGUAAUGAUCUCAACUAAUUUUUUUAGACGUGAGGUCCAGCUUGUAGUCUUGGAACAUGUAGAGUAGAAGGACCUCGUGCUCGUGGUUUUUGUGUAGACUAAUUAAUGUACAUAGAUAAAUGCUAGUAUUUACUUGGGGUAAUUAAAGCUUUCAUGUUACGUGUAUGUAUAACGAUGUUUCUUAUCGGGUUGGUUAUCUCUUGGUGGUGUUUCAGUGAAAGGCUUCUUGAGAACUUCGUGUUAACAUGGUGUAUAGAAGCUGAGAACGCUUUCAGUAUAGUGUAAGAUUAGUUCAAACCAAAGGAAGCUUACUUCUUGAAGUCCGGAGUAUUCGAAGGGUUCCUUGUAAUAAAAAUGUCGAGGAAAUAUUCACUACAUAUUAAAUAUUAAGCUUAUCUGAAUAUAAAGUUUUAAUAGUCAUUUAAAAACCAGUGUUCGUGUUGUAUACAGUGUUUACUCUGAAUAUUAUUCUAAUUUUAAACUGUGUGUUUAGCUUGUGAGAAUACAGGUAAUAAUUAAGCAUUUAAAACUUGAGAAUUUUUCAAUACAACAGUAUUCAAGAAGUCUAAAUCUAUUCAAUUUAAUGUUUAGUUGUUCGUUUUAACACAUUAUUGGUUUUAAUUUUCAAGAUAGCAAUGAUAUAAGAAUUUUAGUUGUUGAAUGAGUUAUUUCGUAGCAUUAAUAUAAAAACUGACUGACAUGGGCACUGCUGCUUGGCUCAAAAUUUCCAAGUGAUCUCGGUAAAGUGAUUUAUGUUGUUAAUGUAAUGAAAUAAGGGUCAACGAAGAUCUUUAAGAAAUAAUAACAUUUUUCAUUUUAUUUUCUUUUUUCAUAUAGUAAUAUAAUUUAUCUUUUGUUGUUCCGAAUUAUCGUGCAAAACAUAACUUAAACCUGUUACUGUUUGUUUUGCUAGAUUGUACUCUCAUUUAUGAGUACUGUUCCUUUCACAGCCUACAGAGCUUUUACAUAAUUAUGUUUUGUGUUUUCUGAUCUUUGCUGUAAAUAAAGAGAAUUAUUCAUCGUA